Molecule: ribosomal RNA, 253 nt
Filed under: uncultured bacterium
Lineage: Bacteria
Description: partial 16S ribosomal RNA
Rfam family: Bacterial small subunit ribosomal RNA
Source: RNAcentral
UACAGAGGUCUCAAGCGUUGUUCGGAUUCAUUGGGCGUAAAGCGCACGUAGGCGGAUUGUUAAGUCAGGGGUGAAAUCCCGGAGCUCAACUCCGGAACUGCCUUUGAUACUGGCAAUCUUGAGGCUGGAAGAGGUUAGUGGAAUUCCCAGUGUAGAGGUGAAAUUCGUAGAUAUUGGGAAGAACACCAGUGGCGAAGGCGGCUAACUGGUCCAGAUCUGACGCUGAGGUGCGAAAGCGUGGGGAGCAAACAGG